GAUGAACGCUGGCGGCGUGCCUAAUACAUGCAAGUCGAGCGAACAGACGAGGAGCUUGCUCCUCUGACGUUAGCGGCGGACGGGUGAGUAACACGUGGAUAACCUACCUAUAAGACUGGGAUAACUUCGGGAAACCGGAGCUAAUACCGGAUAAUAUAUUGAACCGCAUGGUUCAAUAGUGAAAGACGGUUUUGCUGUCACUUAUAGAUGGAUCCGCGCCGCAUUAGCUAGUUGGUAAGGUAACGGCUUACCAAGGCAACGAUGCGUAGCCGACCUGAUAGGGUGAUCGGCCACACUGGAACUUAGACACGGUCCAGACUCCUACGGGAGGCAGCAGUAGGGAAUCUUCCGCAAUGGGCGAAAGCCUGACGGAGCAACGCCGCGUGAGUGAUGAAGGUCUUCGGAUCGUAAAACUCUGUUAUUAGGGAAGAACAAAUGUGUAAGUAACUAUGCACGUCUUGACGGUACCUAAUCAGAAAGCCACGGCUAACUACGUG
Molecule: ribosomal RNA, 497 nt
Filed under: uncultured bacterium
Lineage: Bacteria
Description: partial 16S ribosomal RNA
Rfam family: Bacterial small subunit ribosomal RNA
Source: RNAcentral